AACCCAUGGUAAGGACACCUUCUCAAUAGAUCCUUGUAUCUCUCUCAUGCUUCAUAGAGUGUUUCGAGAUCCAUCUACACAAAAAAAAGAGAUGUCAUUCCUUAACUU
Molecule: non-coding RNA, 108 nt
Organism: Gossypium arboreum
Lineage: Eukaryota; Viridiplantae; Streptophyta; Magnoliopsida; Malvales; Malvaceae
Source: Rfam